CGGAGGGUGCAAGCGUUGCUCGGAAUUAUUGGGCGUAAAGGGUAGGUAGGUGGUCUCAUUUGUCUGGGGGUGAAUGCCUUGAGCUUAACUCAAGAAGUGCCCCAGAAACGGUGAGACUAGAGUCUUGGAGAGGGUCGUGGAAUUCCCGGUGUAGCGGUGAAAUGCGUAGAGAUCGGGAGGAACACCAGAGGCGAAGGCGGCGACCUGGACAAGCACUGACACUCAACUACGAAAGCGUGGGGAGCAAACAGGAUUAGAUACCCUGGUAGUCCACGCUGUAAACGAUGGGUACUAGAUUUGGUGGGUCUUGACCCCCGCCGAAUCGGAGCUAACGCAAUAAGUACCCCGCCUGGGAAGUACGGUCGCAAGACUA
RNAcentral lists this ribosomal RNA (373 nucleotides) under uncultured organism. Its description in RNAcentral is "bacterial SSU rRNA". It matches the Rfam family "Bacterial small subunit ribosomal RNA", at positions 526 to 896 of the family's 1533-position model. The record is from RNAcentral.